Molecule: ribosomal RNA, 1529 nt
Filed under: Citrobacter koseri
Lineage: Bacteria; Pseudomonadati; Pseudomonadota; Gammaproteobacteria; Enterobacterales; Enterobacteriaceae
Description: bacterial SSU rRNA
Rfam family: Bacterial small subunit ribosomal RNA
Source: RNAcentral
AGAGUUUGAUCAUGGCUCAGAUUGAACGCUGGCGGCAGGCCUAACACAUGCAAGUCGAACGGUAACAGGAAGCAGCUUGCUGCUUCGCUGACGAGUGGCGGACGGGUGAGUAAUGUCUGGGAAACUGCCUGAUGGAGGGGGAUAACUACUGGAAACGGUAGCUAAUACCGCAUAACGUCGCAAGACCAAAGAGGGGGACCUUCGGGCCUCUUGCCAUCAGAUGUGCCCAGAUGGGAUUAGCUUGUUGGUGGGGUAACGGCUCACCAAGGCGACGAUCCCUAGCUGGUCUGAGAGGAUGACCAGCCACACUGGAACUGAGACACGGUCCAGACUCCUACGGGAGGCAGCAGUGGGGAAUAUUGCACAAUGGGCGCAAGCCUGAUGCAGCCAUGCCGCGUGUAUGAAGAAGGCCUUCGGGUUGUAAAGUACUUUCAGCGGGGAGGAAGGUGUUGUGGUUAAUAACCGCAGCAAUUGACGUUACCCGCAGAAGAAGCACCGGCUAACUCCGUGCCAGCAGCCGCGGUAAUACGGAGGGUGCAAGCGUUAAUCGGAAUUACUGGGCGUAAAGCGCACGCAGGCGGUCUGUUAAGUCAGAUGUGAAAUCCCCGGGCUCAACCUGGGAACUGCAUCUGAUACUGGCAGGCUUGAGUCUCGUAGAGGGGGGUAGAAUUCCAGGUGUAGCGGUGAAAUGCGUAGAGAUCUGGAGGAAUACCGGUGGCGAAGGCGGCCCCCUGGACGAAGACUGACGCUCAGGUGCGAAAGCGUGGGGAGCAAACAGGAUUAGAUACCCUGGUAGUCCACGCCGUAAACGAUGUCGACUUGGAGGUUGUGCCCUUGAGGCGUGGCUUCCGGAGCUAACGCGUUAAGUCGACCGCCUGGGGAGUACGGCCGCAAGGUUAAAACUCAAAUGAAUUGACGGGGGCCCGCACAAGCGGUGGAGCAUGUGGUUUAAUUCGAUGCAACGCGAAGAACCUUACCUGGUCUUGACAUCCACGGAAGUUUUCAGAGAUGAGAAUGUGCCUUCGGGAACCGUGAGACAGGUGCUGCAUGGCUGUCGUCAGCUCGUGUUGUGAAAUGUUGGGUUAAGUCCCGCAACGAGCGCAACCCUUAUCCUUUGUUGCCAGCGGUCCGGCCGGGAACUCAAAGGAGACUGCCAGUGAUAAACUGGAGGAAGUGGGGAUGACGUCAAGUCAUCAUGGCCCUUACGACCAGGGCUACACACGUGCUACAAUGGCAUAUACAAAGAGAAGCGACCUCGCGAGAGCAAGCGGACCUCAUAAAGUAUGUCGUAGUCCGGAUUGGAGUCUGCAACUCGACUCCAUGAAGUCGGAAUCGCUAGUAAUCGUGGAUCAGAAUGCCACGGUGAAUACGUUCCCGGGCCUUGUACACACCGCCCGUCACACCAUGGGAGUGGGUUGCAAAAGAAGUAGGUAGCUUAACCUUCGGGAGGGCGCUUACCACUUUGUGAUUCAUGACUGGGGUGAAGUCGUAACAAGGUAACCGUAGGGGAACCUGCGGUUGGAUCACCU